CGUCAGCUCGUGCCGUGAGGUGUCGGGUUAAGUCCCGCAACGAGCGCAACCCUCGCCCUUAGUUGCCAGCAUUUAGUUGGGCACUCUAAGGGGACGUGCCGGUGAUAAGCCGAGAGGAAGGUGGGGAUGACGUCAAGUCCUCAUGGCCCUUACGGGCUGGGCUACACACGUGCUACAAUGGUGGUGACAGUGGGCAGCGAGCACGCGAGUGUGAGCUAAUCUCCAAAAGCCAUCUCAGUUCGGAUUGCACUCUGCAACUCGAGUGCAUGAAGUUGGAAUCGCUAGUAAUCGCGGAUCAGCAUGCCGCGGUGAAUACGUUCCCGGGCCUU
Molecule: ribosomal RNA, 329 nt
Filed under: uncultured Rhizobiaceae bacterium
Lineage: Bacteria; Pseudomonadati; Pseudomonadota; Alphaproteobacteria; Hyphomicrobiales; Rhizobiaceae
Description: bacterial SSU rRNA
Rfam family: Bacterial small subunit ribosomal RNA
Source: RNAcentral